RNAcentral lists this ribosomal RNA (446 nucleotides) under uncultured bacterium. RNAcentral describes it as "partial 16S ribosomal RNA". It matches the Rfam family "Bacterial small subunit ribosomal RNA", at positions 338 to 795 of the family's 1533-position model. The record is from RNAcentral.
CCUACGGGAGGCAGCAGUAGGGAAUUUUCGGCAAUGGGGGCAACCCUGACGGAGCAACGCCGCGUGAACGAAGAAGUUAUUCGUAAUGUAAAGUUCUGUCAACAGGGAAGAAAGAGAAAUUAGACGAUACCUGAAGAAUAAGCACCGGCUAAUAACGGGCCAGCAGCCGGGGUAAUACGCAGGGGGCGAGCGUUUUCCGGAAUUAUGGGGGGUAAGGGGACCGUAGAGGGCAUAGAAGGUCUUUGGGAAAAAUGGUGGGCUAAACCCAGUAGUGCAAAAGAUACUGCAAAGCUAGAGUAUGAGAGAGGGAAGCGGAAUUACAUGUGUAGCGGUAAAAUGCGUAAAUAUAAGUAAGAACACCAGUGGCGAAGGCGGCUUGCUGGGUCGAUACUGACAUUGAGGCACGAAAGCGUGGGGAGCAAACAGGAUUAGAUACCCGAGUAGUC